GUCCUACGGGAGGCAGCAGUGGGGAAUAUUGCACAAUGGGGGAAACCCUGAUGCAGCGACGCCGCGUGAGCGAUGAAGUAUUUCGGUAUGUAAAGCUCUAUCAGCAGGGAAGAAAAUGACGGUACCUGACUAAGAAGCCCCGGCUAACUACGUGCCAGCAGCCGCGGUAAUACGUAGGGGGCAAGCGUUAUCCGGAUUUACUGGGUGUAAAGGGAGCGUAGACGGCAUGGCAAGUCCGGAGUGAAAGCCCGGGGCUCAACCCUGGGACUGCUCUGGAAACUGUAAAGCUGGAGUGCGGGAGGGGG
Molecule: ribosomal RNA, 305 nt
Filed under: uncultured bacterium
Lineage: Bacteria
Description: bacterial SSU rRNA
Rfam family: Bacterial small subunit ribosomal RNA
Source: RNAcentral